UGGGGAAUAUUGGACAAUGGGCGAAAGCCUGAUCCAGCAAUGCCGCGUGAGUGAUGAAGGCCUUAGGGUUGUAAAGCUCUUUUACCAGGGAUGAUAAUGACAGUACCUGGAGAAUAAGCUCCGGCUAACUCCGUGCCAGCAGCCGCGGUAAUACGGAGGGAGCUAGCGUUGUUCGGAAUUACUGGGCGUAAAGCGUACGUAGGCGGUGAUUCAAGUCAGAGGUGAAAGCCUGGAGCUCAACUCCAGAACUGCCUUUGAAACUAGAUCGCUAGAAUUGCGGAGAGGUGAGUGGAAUUCCGAGUGUAGAGGUGAAAUUCGUAGAUAUUCGGAAGAACACCAGUGGCGAAGGCGGCUCACUGGACGCAUAUUGACGCUGAGGUACGAAAGCGUGGGGAGCAAACAGGAUUAGAUACCCUAGUAGUCCCUGAGCGGGCUGGCAAGGCGCAU
This 447-nucleotide ribosomal RNA is filed under the name uncultured bacterium. Its description in RNAcentral is "bacterial SSU rRNA". It matches the Rfam family "Bacterial small subunit ribosomal RNA", at positions 355 to 825 of the family's 1533-position model. The record is from RNAcentral.